This is a long non-coding RNA of Mustela lutreola (European mink), 1240 nucleotides long. RefSeq lists it as uncharacterized. The record is from RefSeq and is a predicted model, not a curated record. The transcript is spliced from 2 exons. NCBI's taxonomy places the organism in Eukaryota, Metazoa, Chordata, Mammalia, Carnivora, Mustelidae.
AGAGCCAUUCAGCAGAUGCAAGGAGUCACGUAGACGGCAGUGCCUGUAGAUUGAGGAAUUAAGAAUGAUUGGUUUAGGGGGAUGUGAGUGCGCUCGUGGCUGACGCAUGAGCAGCACCAGGAGCCAAGAGAGAAACGCAUGAUCACCGCUAGAGAACAAUAGAGUCCUGUAUGGUUACAUAAGAGUGCCACGAGGACGCUGCGUGCGCGGCAUUGUGAUUGGGCGAGGGGGGGGGUGAACGCGCGUGCAUAAAUAUCGCUGUGUGCUUGGUUUGCGGGCGGCCGCCAUUAUUAAAAAGAAGCUUGCCACUCACCUUGUCUGCGGGUCGUUCUUGCGGGCCGAGAGCGACAACUGGUGCCGAAACCCGGGAUCCCUACCUUUAGACGCAGAACGAGGAUCGAGGUGAACCUCGACAACCUGCCGGUGCUACUUCGACAUAAACGAGACUUUGGAAUAACAGCAGCCAUUAUUGCAGCUAUUGCAGCAUCCGUCGCCGCUGCUACUGCUGCUGCAGUGGCGUUGACAACCUUGAUACAGACUGCAGCAACACUCAACAAUGUCACCGGGAGGGUAGCUGAAGCCCUUGCAACACAAAAUCAGAUUAAUGGACUGUUAGGUGUAUACAAAACCCACGCGGACAUUGUCCUUGUUUUCUCACUUCCCUUCCCUGACGCACGCAUGGUAUGUUGUAGGAACAAUUAUAGGAGUGCUAGUAGUAAUUGUUCUUUUCAUGUGCCUCUUGCCUUGUGCGGUUAAAAUUAUACUCGCAGUUUAUAAGUUAAGAGCCAUCAUACGUAACCAUCAGCUAAUCAACCGCGGUGGGCUCAGAAUGUCACCUUGAACGCUACCCAGGUAUCUCUUGGCUCCGUCAGCGAUUUGGUUAGUAUGUUAUAACAAUCAGCCUCAUUCCUCAAAAACUGGGCAGGCAUAGGAGCCCUGAUUAUGUUGAUGAUUCUGGCUCAAGUGCUCCUUCUACAAUGCAUCGCGCGACAACAACGGCUACAGCAACGGGCUUUGGUCUAAGCCAUGAUGGCUCUGGAGGCUGGCACCUUCCCCCCCAAAUAUGGCUUAGCAUGCUGGAUCGGUAGCCAAAGACGGGUAAGACCGAUCCCUCACCAUAGCAACCUAAGACAGGGGCUCCUCGGCCAGGGGGAGUACCCGAUGACGGGUAAGCAUGUGUGCUGAGGAUUGGCAACCUAAGACAGGCACGAUCCCUGCCAUAUAAACAAUAAAAAAGGGG